RNAcentral lists this ribosomal RNA (468 nucleotides) under uncultured bacterium. RNAcentral's name for it is "partial 16S ribosomal RNA". It matches the Rfam family "Bacterial small subunit ribosomal RNA", at positions 28 to 507 of the family's 1533-position model. The record is from RNAcentral.
GACGAACGCUGGCGGCGUGCUUAACACAUGCAAGUCGAACGGAGAUGCCCCAGCUUGCUGGAGUGGAUCAGUGGCGAACGGGUGAGUAACACGUGAGCAACCUGCCCCAGACUCUGGAAUAAGCGCUGGAAACGGCGUCUAAUACUGGAUACGAAACUGGCCCGCAUGGGCGUGGUUGGGAAAGUUCUGCGGUUUGGGAUGGGCUCGCGGCCUAUCAGCUUGUUGGUGGGGUAGUGGCUCACCAAGGCGACGACGGGUAGCCGGCCUGAGAGGGCGACCGGCCACACUGGGACUGAGACACGGCCCAGACUCCUACGGGAGGCAGCAGUGGGGAAUAUUGCACAAUGGGCGGAAGCCUGAUGCAGCGACGCCGCGUGAGGGAUGACGGCCUUCGGGUUGUAAACCGCUUUCAGCAGGGAAGAAGCGAAAGUGACGGUACCUGCUGAAGAAGCACCGGCUAACUACGUG